GACGAACGCUGGCGGCGUGCUUAACACAUGCAAGUCGAACGGUGAAGCGCCUUCCUUUUUGGUGGGUGUGGAUGAGUGGCGAACGGGUGAGUAACACGUGAGUAACCUGCCCCCUUCUUCUGGAUAACCGCAUGAAAGUGUGGCUAAUACGGGAUAUUCUGGGUCUGUCGCAUGAUGGGUCUGGGAAAGAUAUUGUUUCGGUGGGGGAUGGGCUCGCGGCCUUUCAGCUUGUUGGUGGGGUGAUGGCCUACCAAGGCGGUGACGGGUAGCCGGCCUGAGAGGGGGGGCGUCACGGCUGGGAUGGAGCCCCGGCCCGGCCACGGGCGGGAGCAGGGGGGGGGAAAGAGUGAAGGGGGGGCGCGGGCUGGAUGCCGCGCGCGGGGGUGAGGGAGGGCGUCUUUGGGUUGGGGCCCUUUUUCGGGAAGGAAAGGAGGCCGGCCUGGUUGGGGGGGGGUUGCAGGGUGGUUGAAAAAGAGCCCCGGCAAACCUAGGG
This 493-nucleotide ribosomal RNA is filed under the name uncultured bacterium. RNAcentral's name for it is "partial 16S ribosomal RNA". The stretch from base 20 to 337 matches the Rfam family "Bacterial small subunit ribosomal RNA", at positions 47 to 358 of the family's 1533-position model. The record is from RNAcentral.